RNAcentral lists this ribosomal RNA (2773 nucleotides) under Shigella flexneri 2a. RNAcentral describes it as "bacterial LSU rRNA". It matches the Rfam family "Bacterial large subunit ribosomal RNA". The record is from RNAcentral. Lineage: Bacteria; Pseudomonadati; Pseudomonadota; Gammaproteobacteria; Enterobacterales; Enterobacteriaceae.
AGCGUACACGGUGGAUGCCCUGGCAGUCAGAGGCGAUGAAGGACGUGCUAAUCUGCGAUAAGCGUCGGUAAGGUGAUAUGAACCGUUAUAACCGGCGAUUUCCGAAUGGGGAAACCCAGUGUGAUUCGUCACACUAUCAUUAACUGAAUCCAUAGGUUAAUGAGGCGAACCGGGGGAACUGAAACAUCUAAGUACCCCGAGGAAAAGAAAUCAACCGAGAUUCCCCCAGUAGCGGCGAGCGAACGGGGAGCAGCCCAGAGCCUGAAUCAGUGUGUGUGUUAGUGGAAGCGUCUGGAAUGGCGUGCGAUACAGGGUGACAGCCCCGUACACAAAAAUGCACAUACUGUGAGCUCGAUGAGUAGGGCGGGACACGUGGUAUCCUGUCUGAAUAUGGGGGGACCAUCCUCCAAGGCUAAAUACUCCUGACUGACCGAUAGUGAACCAGUACCGUGAGGGAAAGGCGAAAAGAACCCCGGCGAGGGGAGUGAAAAAGAACCUGAAACCGUGUACGUACAAGCAGUGGGAGCACGCUUAGGCGUGUGACUGCGUACCUUUUGUAUAAUGGGUCAGCGACUUAUAUUCUGUAGCAAGGUUAACCGAAUAGGGGAGCCGAAGGGAAACCGAGUCUUAACUGGGCGUUAAGUUGCAGGGUAUAGACCCGAAACCCGGUGAUCUAGCCAUGGGCAGGUUGAAGGUUGGGUAACACUAACUGGAGGACCGAACCGACUAAUGUUGAAAAAUUAGCGGAUGACUUGUGGCUGGGGGUGAAAGGCCAAUCAAACCGGGAGAUAGCUGGUUCUCCCCGAAAGCUAUUUAGGUAGCGCCUCGUGAAUUCAUCUCCGGGGGUAGAGCACUGUUUCGGCAAGGGGGUCAUCCCGACUUACCAACCCGAUGCAAACUGCGAAUACCGGAGAAUGUUAUCACGGGAGACACACGGCGGGUGCUAACGUCCGUCGUGAAGAGGGAAACAACCCAGACCGCCAGCUAAGGUCCCAAAGUCAUGGUUAAGUGGGAAACGAUGUGGGAAGGCCCAGACAGCCAGGAUGUUGGCUUAGAAGCAGCCAUCAUUUAAAGAAAGCGUAAUAGCUCACUGGUCGAGUCGGCCUGCGCGGAAGAUGUAACGGGGCUAAACCAUGCACCGAAGCUGCGGCAGCGACGCUUAUGCGUUGUUGGGUAGGGGAGCGUUCUGUAAGCCUGUGAAGGUGUGCUGUGAGGUAUGCUGGAGGUAUCAGAAGUGCGAAUGCUGACAUAAGUAACGAUAAAGCGGGUGAAAAGCCCGCUCGCCGGAAGACCAAGGGUUCCUGUCCAACGUUAAUCGGGGCAGGGUGAGUCGACCCCUAAGGCGAGGCCGAAAGGCGUAGUCGAUGGGAAACAGGUUAAUAUUCCUGUACUUGGUGUUACUGCGAAGGGGGGACGGAGAAGGCUAUGUUGGCCGGGCGACGGUUGUCCCGGUUUAAGCGUGUAGGCUGGUUUUCCAGGCAAAUCCGGAAAAUCAAGGCCGAGGCGUGAUGACGAGGCACUACGGUGCUGAAGCAACAAAUGCCCUGCUUCCAGGAAAAGCCUCUAAGCAUCAGGUAACAUCAAAUCGUACCCCAAACCGACACAGGUGGUCAGGUAGAGAAUACCAAGGCGCUUGAGAGAACUCGGGUGAAGGAACUAGGCAAAAUGGUGCCGUAACUUCGGGAGAAGGCACGCUGAUACGUAGGUGAAGCGACUUGCUCGUGGAGCUGAAAUCAGUCGAAGAUACCAGCUGGCUGCAACUGUUUAUUAAAAACACAGCACUGUGCAAACACGAAAGUGGACGUAUACGGUGUGACGCCUGCCCGGUGCCGGAAGGUUAAUUGAUGGGGUUAGCGCAAGCGAAGCUCUUGAUCGAAGCCCCGGUAAACGGCGGCCGUAACUAUAACGGUCCUAAGGUAGCGAAAUUCCUUGUCGGGUAAGUUCCGACCUGCACGAAUGGCGUAAUGAUGGCCAGGCUGUCUCCACCCGAGACUCAGUGAAAUUGAACUCGCUGUGAAGAUGCAGUGUACCCGCGGCAAGACGGAAAGACCCCGUGAACCUUUACUAUAGCUUGACACUGAACAUUGAGCCUUGAUGUGUAGGAUAGGUGGGAGGCUUUGAAGUGUGGACGCCAGUCUGCAUGGAGCCGACCUUGAAAUACCACCCUUUAAUGUUUGAUGUUCUAACGUGGACCCGUGAUCCGGGUUGCGGACAGUGUCUGGUGGGUAGUUUGACUGGGGCGGUCUCCUCCUAAAGAGUAACGGAGGAGCACGAAGGUUGGCUAAUCCUGGUCGGACAUCAGGAGGUUAGUGCAAUGGCAUAAGCCAGCUUGACUGCGAGCGUGACGGCGCGAGCAGGUGCGAAAGCAGGUCAUAGUGAUCCGGUGGUUCUGAAUGGAAGGGCCAUCGCUCAACGGAUAAAAGGUACUCCGGGGAUAACAGGCUGAUACCGCCCAAGAGUUCAUAUCGACGGCGGUGUUUGGCACCUCGAUGUCGGCUCAUCACAUCCUGGGGCUGAAGUAGGUCCCAAGGGUAUGGCUGUUCGCCAUUUAAAGUGGUACGCGAGCUGGGUUUAGAACGUCGUGAGACAGUUCGGUCCCUAUCUGCCGUGGGCGCUGGAGAACUGAGGGGGGCUGCUCCUAGUACGAGAGGACCGGAGUGGACGCAUCACUGGUGUUCGGGUUGUCAUGCCAAUGGCACUGCCCGGUAGCUAAAUGCGGAAGAGAUAAGUGCUGAAAGCAUCUAAGCACGAAACUUGCCCCGAGAUGAGUUCU